RNAcentral lists this ribosomal RNA (1000 nucleotides) under Alcaligenes sp. HM24. RNAcentral's name for it is "bacterial SSU rRNA". It matches the Rfam family "Bacterial small subunit ribosomal RNA", at positions 52 to 1042 of the family's 1533-position model. The record is from RNAcentral. Lineage: Bacteria; Pseudomonadati; Pseudomonadota; Betaproteobacteria; Burkholderiales; Alcaligenaceae.
CAUUGGUCAAAGUCGAACGGCAGCACGAGAGAGCUUGCUCUCUUGGUGGCGAGUGGCGGACGGGUGAGUAAUAUAUCGGAACGUGCCCAGUAGCGGGGGAUAACUACUCGAAAGAGUGGCUAAUACCGCAUACGCCCUACGGGGGAAAGGGGGGGAUCGCAAGACCUCUCACUAUUGGAGCGGCCGAUAUCGGAUUAGCUAGUUGGUGGGGUAAAGGCUCACCAAGGCAACGAUCCGUAGCUGGUUUGAGAGGACGACCAGCCACACUGGGACUGAGACACGGCCCAGACUCCUACGGGAGGCAGCAGUGGGGAAUUUUGGACAAUGGGGGAAACCCUGAUCCAGCCAUCCCGCGUGUAUGAUGAAGGCCUUCGGGUUGUAAAGUACUUUUGGCAGAGAAGAAAAGGCAUCCCCUAAUACGGGAUGCUGCUGACGGUAUCUGCAGAAUAAGCACCGGCUAACUACGUGCCAGCAGCCGCGGUAAUACGUAGGGUGCAAGCGUUAAUCGGAAUUACUGGGCGUAAAGCGUGUGUAGGCGGUUCGGAAAGAAAGAUGUGAAAUCCCAGGGCUCAACCUUGGAACUGCAUUUUUAACUGCCGAGCUAGAGUAUGUCAGAGGGGGGUAGAAUUCCACGUGUAGCAGUGAAAUGCGUAGAUAUGUGGAGGAAUACCGAUGGCGAAGGCAGCCCCCUGGGAUAAUACUGACGCUCAGACACGAAAGCGUGGGGAGCAGACAGGAUUAGAUACCCUGGUAGUCCACGCCCUAAACGAUGUCAACUAGCUGUUGGGGCCGUUAGGCCUUAGUAGCGCAGCUAACGCGUGAAGUUGACCGCCUGGGGAGUACGGUCGCAAGAUUAAAACUCAAAGGAAUUGACGGGGACCCGCACAAGCGGUGGAUGAUGUGGAUUAAUUCGAUGCAACGCGAAAACCUUACCUACCCUUGACAUGUCUGGAAAGCCGAAAGAUUUGGCCGUGCUCCAAGAGACCCGGAACACAGUGCU